RNAcentral lists this long non-coding RNA (1136 nucleotides) under Marmota monax (woodchuck). Lineage: Eukaryota; Metazoa; Chordata; Mammalia; Rodentia; Sciuridae. The record is from RNAcentral.
CUUCUAUUGUUUAUGUGCUACUUAAAAUACUAAAUAAUUUGAGUUACAAUUUGACUAGUUUAAAAGGUCUCUCAUUUGUGUUUUUAUGUUGAUCUGAAAGCUCCAAAUCAAUUUGCAUUUGGGUCCCUGUUAAGUUUCUAUUCUUUAGCUUUAAUAAUUUUUAAUCCUCCAAAUCUAGAAAUUUUAGUUUUGUCAUUAUCUUUAACACCGGUUUCUUUCUUUCCUUCUGGUUGGAAAUAGCAACCUUUUGAGUUUUAAAUAUGGAAGACCACUAGGAUGAUAUAUUCUUAACAAUGUAUUUUUCCUUUUUAUAUGGCUUGUUCUUUCAUUUUAGUCUAUCUUUUACCCUUUUCAAUUCCCGGUUGCAUAGAUUGCUUCAGUGUGGUAGCUGGCAUAUUUAAAAUGGACAGCAUAAUGACUAGGAAGUUUGAUUGUUUUUUAUCAGAGCAGUACAAACAUGCAGGAAAGGGGGCUAUUCCUUAGUGUGGAAUAAGCUGCUUCCUGUAAUUGUUAGCCUUGUUAUAAACUUAAUUUGACUUAAGAAAAGUAUUAGUUUCUUAAGUGCAUCUCAUUUUUUACUUGUUGGAUAGUUUAAUUGUGAAUUUUGUCACGUUGUGUUUUACCCCUUCGCGGCCUGUCAUUGUCUAAAACAAAUUAAUCAUGAUGUCUGUGGUUAGGAAUUACAUUUUCUUUUGUCUAUAAUGCUUGACAAAAAUUCAUAUGAAUUUCUAAGUUUUAGUUUAGUGAUUAGUGAAGUUAAGAUAUUUUACUUAUGAGUGGGCAUACUUUGUGAUAAAUACCAAUUUUGAAUGAGCCUCUUGGGCAAUUUUGUUUUAAGAUACUUUUUGAAUAAUACGUUUCAAAAUAUUUUGUCUGUCAGUUGGAGAGUUUUUAUUUGGCUAGUUGCACGUUUGGGAGUUAAGUAUUGGUUGGAUUUCCCUACUUUAUUAAAACGUCAGUGCUUUAGAAGAAGUAUUUAUUCCCAUGCCAAGUUAAAGUUAACCUUUAGUCUGUAUCCCAAUUAUAGACACUCUUUAUGUUUUAUUGUUUAGUUUUGUGUGGAGUUGUCAGUCUUUUUAUCCCAAGUAUCUUCAACAUGGUUGUUUUUUGAAAUUGAGAACAUAUUUUAGGUUGGU